Molecule: long non-coding RNA, 1990 nt
Filed under: Homo sapiens (human)
Lineage: Eukaryota; Metazoa; Chordata; Mammalia; Primates; Hominidae
Description: HSALNT0108544
Source: RNAcentral
AUGGCAUUAAAGGCCUAACUGUUCAUUUGAUGCCCAUGUGUAAUUCCUUUUAGAGAAACUAAAAAUAAGCUUCCAACAGGCUUACUCACUCACAUACUCCAUUGUGUGGACAGACAGCAAACAGGGGCAGAGAGCUAAGCCUUGACCCACUUACCACCCUCAGAUGGUUCUGAUCAAUGUCUAAGAACCUAUUAAAACCUUACUAUUAGGGGAUUAAAGGAAAUAACAGAUUCAUCCUGGUUCCCCAGAGCUUUUGCCUUUUUUGGGACAAAAUGGGCAAGGUUUUUUGUUUUUUUUUUUUGUUUUUGUUUUUUUUUCCAGAUCUUUCCCUGAAGGUAUGCCAAUGAAAUUAUAUACUCUCAUCCUAUAAAAUGUAGUCAAACUUGAUACAGAAACUAGUUCAUGAAGAUCCACAGAAUUCCUAUAUUGUUACCUAAGAAUUACAUUUUAAAUUCAAAUAAUACAAGAACUAUUCUUUGUUCAUGCAGUAUAUUUGCUUGCCUACAAAAAUAAUCAGAGUUCCCUGAGCCCUUGUGUUUCAGCAGUUUACAAUAUUAAAUGGUCAACCCCCCUGAGUCCAGCUAUCCACAUUGCUUGCCCCCAUCCUUCCUCCAGGCCAUUCACCUGGUUCUCAGGCCUUCUCAGCUGUUCUUUCUGUUCUGCUUUUUGGCUAUCACACACUGUCUCCCUUCCUGUUUCUAAUGGGUAGAUAAUUUAUUGCUCUCCCCUUCUUGUUACACAGCCUCACUAUGUGAGCCCAUAGAUUCCUUUGUAGGUGGUAUUCCUGUUGUUGGACCUGUGGUCUCUCUGGCUGCAGGAAAGGGGUAUUGAUGAUACCUCUAGAAACCUAAGCCACAGUCCAGGCUCCAGCCCUGAGAUGCAGGGUCCAGCCUCAGUUUGGCCUCUCACCCACUUAAUAUAAAAACAAUUAUCCAGUGAAUGAGCAAAGCUAUUCUUGGACUUAGAAUAUUUCUACUGGGCUUUAAAACUUUCCACCUUUAUAUUGACACAGUCAAUAAGUUGCUCUUAUAUUAAGGCAACAUAAAUUUAUUUUUAGCAAAAUUAUGCUGAUGCUUGAUCAUUAGACCAAACUCACAAAAAUGAAAAAAUAAAUUAUAAGUAUUUAGAACUUAAUUAUUGGUUUCCAGUUUGAUACUGAGCUUAAGGACCUGAUAAAAGUGUCUUUACAUUUCCAUCAUUGACUGAUCUUUCUACAGACAAGUUUACUCUGUUUCUAUUCAAGCUCUGAUAAUCACUAAACCAAGAGGUUUACUUCACACCUUCUUUUAUUUUCCUUGCUUCCCUAUUGUACAAUAGCAAAAGCCUGGACCGGUGGGUACACCAGAGAUAUCUUGUCCCUAGCCCUUCCUUAAAUAUUUCAUAUCCUCAGGUACUGUUUGCCCUCACUUGCUUUUCUUUCUCUUUCUUUUUGCCCUCACUCAGUUGCUUUUCUUUUUUUUUCUUUCUUUUCUUAGUCUUUUUUUUUUUUUGGUAGUGGCAUGAUCACGGCACAGUGUAGCCUUGACCUCCUAGGCUCAGGAGAUCCUCCUGAGUAGCUGGGAUUACAGGCGCCUGCCACCACACCCGAAUAAUUUUUUGUAUUUUUAGUAGAAAUGGGGUUUCACCAUGUUGGUCAGGCUGGUCUCAAACUCUUGACCUAAGGUGAUCCACCAGUCUCGGGCUCCCAAAGUGCUGGGAUUACAGACAUGAGCUACCGCAGCUGGCCUGAAGUGUAUUUUCUAAAAUAAUCUAUAAGUUCUCCAUAUAAGAUCUUAUUAAAUACUUGAAUCAAUGACAAAACAAUAAAAUAAUUUGUUUCUGAUGCCUAAGAAAAAUAAAGCUUUGCUAAUAGUUACCAUAUUUGUAGAUACAUAGAAUUUCAAUUUAAAGGUUAUGGUAAUGGUUGAAUUUUUCAACGUAUUUCUUGAUGGAAUUUUUCCAUAUAUAAUCUGAUUUUUCUGAUGAAUUAUUUAAUCUGUUUCAAUGUGCU